GCGGAUUUAGUUCAGUGGCUAGAACGCUAGCCUUCCAAGCUCGAUGUCGCGGGUUCGAGUCCCGCAAUCCGCU
RNAcentral lists this transfer RNA (73 nucleotides) under Watanabea reniformis. Its description in RNAcentral is "tRNA-Gly". It matches the Rfam family "tRNA". From Rfam's summary of the family: Transfer RNA (tRNA) molecules are approximately 80 nucleotides in length. Their secondary structure includes four short double-helical elements and three loops (D, anti-codon, and T loops). Lineage: Eukaryota; Viridiplantae; Chlorophyta; Trebouxiophyceae; Watanabeales; Watanabeaceae. The record is from RNAcentral. RNAcentral also lists the same sequence under 1 other name.